UACGGGGGGGGCAAGCGUUGUUCGGAAUUACUGGGCGUAAAGGGCUCGUAGGCGGCCAACUAAGUCGGACGUGAAAUCCCCAGGCUCAACCUGGGAACUGCGUCCGAUACUGGAUGGCUUGAAUUCGGGAGAGGGAUGCAGAAUUCCAGGUGUAGCGGUGAAAUGCGUAGAUAUCUGGAGGAAUACCGGUGGCGAAGGCGACUUCCUGGCCUGUUCUUGACGCUGAGGCGCGAAAGCUAGGGUAGCAAACGGG
This 253-nucleotide ribosomal RNA is filed under the name uncultured bacterium. RNAcentral describes it as "partial 16S ribosomal RNA". It matches the Rfam family "Bacterial small subunit ribosomal RNA", at positions 524 to 776 of the family's 1533-position model. The record is from RNAcentral.